AUUGAACGCUGGCGGCAUGCUUUACACAUGCAAGUCGAACGGCAGCACGGGUGCUUGCACCUGGUGGCGAGUGGCGAACGGGUGAGUAAUACAUCGGAACGUGCCCAGUCGUGGGGGAUAACGUAGCGAAAGCUACGCUAAUACCGCAUACGAUCUACGGAUGAAAGCGGGGGACUCGCAAGAGCCUCGCGCGAUUGGAGCGGCCGAUGGCAGAUUAGGUAGUUGGUGGGGUAAAGGCGUCACCAAGCCUGCGAUCUGUAGCUGGUCUGAGAGGACGACCAGCCACACUGGAACUGAGACACGGUCCAGACUCCUACGGGAGGCAGCAGUGGGGAAUUUUGGACAAUGGGCGCAAGCCUGAUCCAGCCAUUCCGCGUGCAGGAUGAAGGCC
This 391-nucleotide ribosomal RNA is filed under the name uncultured bacterium. RNAcentral's name for it is "bacterial SSU rRNA". It matches the Rfam family "Bacterial small subunit ribosomal RNA", at positions 30 to 416 of the family's 1533-position model. The record is from RNAcentral.